This 253-nucleotide ribosomal RNA is filed under the name uncultured bacterium. RNAcentral's name for it is "partial 16S ribosomal RNA". It matches the Rfam family "Bacterial small subunit ribosomal RNA", at positions 524 to 776 of the family's 1533-position model. The record is from RNAcentral.
UACGUAGGGUGCUAGCGUUGUCCGGAAUCAUUGGGCGUAAAGAGCGUGUAGGCGGCUCGGUAAGUCCGCUGUGAAAGUCCAGGGCUCAACCCUGGAAUGCCGGUGGAAACUGUCGAGCUAGAGUCCGGAAGAGGCGAGUGGAAUUCCUGGUGUAGCGGUGAAAUGCGCAGAUAUCAGGAGGAACACCAAUGGCGAAGGCAGCUCGCUGGGACGGUACUGACGCUGAGACGCGAAAGCGUGGGGAGCAAACAGG